Non-coding RNA from Podarcis lilfordi (Lilford's wall lizard), 68 nucleotides. The record is from the annotation of a GenBank genome assembly. NCBI's taxonomy places the organism in Eukaryota, Metazoa, Chordata, Lepidosauria, Squamata, Lacertidae.
GGCUUUAGCUCAAUGGCUAAACAUCUGCUUGGCAUGCAGAAGGUUGCAGGUUCAAUCCCCAAUGGCCU